Molecule: ribosomal RNA, 407 nt
Filed under: uncultured bacterium
Lineage: Bacteria
Description: partial 16S ribosomal RNA
Rfam family: Bacterial small subunit ribosomal RNA
Source: RNAcentral
GACGAACGCUGGCGGCGUGCCUAAUACAUGCAAGUAGGACGCAGUUGCGAACGGGUGAGUAACGCGUAGGUAACUACCUAUUAGAGGGGGAUAACUAUUGGAAACGAUAGCUAAUAUCGCAUACUAGUAGAUGGACCUGCGUUGUAUUAGCUAGUAGGUAGGGUAAGGGCCUACCCAGGCAACGAUACAUAGCCGAACGGGGAGGGUGAUCGGCCAAACUGGGACUGAGACACGGGCCAGACUCCGACGGGAGGCAGCAGUAGGGAAUCUGCGGCAAUGGGGGGAACCCUGACCGAGCAAAUCCGCGUGAGUGAAGAAGGUUUUCGGAUCGUAAAGCUCUGUUGUUAAGAAAGCGGUACUUAACCAGAAAGGGACGGCUAACUACGUGCCAGCAGCCGCGGUAAUAC